RNAcentral lists this ribosomal RNA (543 nucleotides) under uncultured Glomeromycotina. RNAcentral's name for it is "SSU rRNA". It matches the Rfam family "Eukaryotic small subunit ribosomal RNA", at positions 552 to 1097 of the family's 1831-position model. The record is from RNAcentral. Lineage: Eukaryota; Fungi; Glomeromycota.
AGGGCAAGUCUGGUGCCAGCAGCCGCGGUAAUUCCAGCUCCAAUAGCGUAUAUUAAAGUUGUUGCAGUUAAAAAGCUCGUAGUUGAAUUUCGGGAUCAAUUUAUUGGUCGUGCUAUUGUACGUACUGGUAUUAUUGAUUCCUACCUUCUGACGAACCAUGAUGUCAUUAAUUUGGUGUCAUGGGGAAUCAGGACUGUUACUUUGAAAAAAUUAGAGUGUUUAAAGCAGGCUCACGCUUGAAUACAUUAGCAUGGAAUAACGAAAUAGGACGUUUGAUUCUAUUUUGUUGGUUUCUAGGAUCGACGUAAUAAUUAAUAGGGAUAGUUGGGGGCAUUAGUAUUCAAUUGUCAGAGGUGAAAUUCUUGGAUUUAUUGAAGACUAACUACUGCGAAAGCAUUUGCCAAGGAUGUUUUCAUUAAUCAAGAACGAAAGUUAGGGGAUCGAAGACGAUCAGAUACCGUCGUAGUCCUAACCAUAAACUAUGCCGACUAGGGAUCGGAUGAUGUUAAUUUUUUAAUGACUCGUUCGGCGCCUUACGGGAAA